Molecule: ribosomal RNA, 578 nt
Filed under: uncultured bacterium
Lineage: Bacteria
Description: bacterial SSU rRNA
Rfam family: Bacterial small subunit ribosomal RNA
Source: RNAcentral
ACGGGUGAGUAACACGUGAGUAACCUGCCCUUGACUCUGGGAUAAGCGUUGGAAACGACGUCUAAUACCGGAUACGAGCUUCCACCGCAUGGUGAGUUGCUGGAAAGAAUUUUGGUCAAGGAUGGACUCGCGGCCUAUCAGCUUGUUGGUGAGGUAACGGCUCACCAAGGCGACGACGGGUAGCCGGCCUGAGAGGGUGACCGGCCACACUGGGACUGAGACACGGCCCAGACUCCUACGGGAGGCAGCAGUGGGGAAUAUUGCACAAUGGGCGAAAGCCUGAUGCAGCAACGCCGCGUGAGGGACGACGGCCUUCGGGUUGUAAACCUCUUUUAGCAGGGAAGAAGCGAAAGUGACGGUACCUGCAGAAAGAGCACCGGCUAACUACGUGCCAGCAGCCGCGGUAAUACGUAGGGUGCAAGCGUUGUCCGGAAUUAUUGGGCGUAAAGAGCUCGUAGGCGGUUUGUCGCGUCUGCUGUGAAAUCCCGAGGCUCAACCUCGGGUCUGCAGUGGGUACGGGCAGACUAGAGUGCGGUAGGGGAGAUUGGAAUUCCUGGUGUAGCGGUGGAAUGCGCAGA